This is a long non-coding RNA of Quercus lobata, 2764 nucleotides long. RefSeq lists it as uncharacterized. NCBI's taxonomy places the organism in Eukaryota, Viridiplantae, Streptophyta, Magnoliopsida, Fagales, Fagaceae. The record is from RefSeq and is a predicted model, not a curated record. The transcript is spliced from 2 exons.
GGAUCAGAAAAUGAAGCGUGCUUGUAAAAAGAUUCCUGCAACUAGUGACUAGGGAUGGACUUUUCAUAAUUUGGAAAUGGGACUUAGAUUACAAGGACAAGGCUAUUGUUUCAGACAGUUUUUGCGCAUUCAAAAGUUGUCAACAUGGUAUGCUUGAUUUUUGCUGGACUGAUUGUCGCAUAAUCUCUUACGCAGCUACAAUAUGCUGGAUAGAUGCUGCUACUUUAGUUGCUACAAUCUGAUUAUGCAAGGUUUCUCUCUCUUUCUCUCUCUCUCUUCUGGAACUUAUUCUUAUCAUGUCUCUAAUUUUAAUCUUGGGUGUUUAUCUCAACGCUCCCGUCCCCUGUGCACAGGGAAAACCCAAAAUCAACUCAGCAGUGCAGUUUAUACAUCAAAUAUUUCAUCAUGUAUACAGGAGUUUUAAUUGAUUCUUGCCUUUGUAUCAAUAAAGAAGGCUUAUUUUUCUGAAUUAUUUUGUGCUUUAUGGCGUAAUCUAAUAAUCUCAACCAUUUUCUACGUUCCUCAUCUGAUUAGUGUUUCUGGGGUAGACAAACAACUAAUAAUCACCUAGAGAAUUGCCUUUACCCUUGAUUGCAUUUGCCUUUCACUAUAUUUAUGUGUGAGCAUGUCCUGAUAUGUGACCAACAAAGUUUUAUAGAUGACCUAGCAAUGCGGAUCUUGCCUAAUCAGGUUGUAUAUGUUUUCAUGAAAUCAUUAUCGCAAAUAAAUAUUAGUUAAAAGCAUAACUGAAGAUCUACCAUGGUGAAUAUAUAGCACAAUCAUCUUUUCACUUUGGAAAUCAUGUUUUGAAGUAAUCCCAUUUUUAAUAUUUCCCCUAAGACUGAUGUUAAUAUGAUUAAUUAUGAAAGGACACGGACUAACAGCUUGUUCAUUACAUUUAAACACCCAAAUACUUAUGCUCUGCCAAAGAAAUAAUUUGUACAGUAGAACCAAGGGAUUUUGCCCUUCCCUUGCUGGAAUGCUGUACCAAUUUCUGAUAGCAUUUUAGUUUUUAUAAAUUUGUUCUCCUUGCAACAUGAACUUCUAUUUAUGUUAAAAAAAAAUUAAUUCUAGUUUAAUCUUUUAAAUUGAGAAGAUAUUUUGAAAGCCUUGUAUGCUCCUGUGAUAUUAUGUUUUGUGUUUACCCAUGGUGUUACAAAGGUGGGCUGAGCGUGCUCUUCCUGCGGAACAUAACAUUUGGAGGGCUUUGAUUCUGUAUGUUGGAGCUGGUGCACUUCAAGAGGCAUUAGCAUCACUUCAUAAGGCACAACAACCAGACACAGCGGCCAUGUUCAUCCUUGCUUGUCAUGAAAAGCAUGCAGAAAUAGUUGCUGAUUUAGGAGAUUUAGAUGAUGAAUCUAGUUCUUCUGUGAAGGAUUAGCUGUGUAACUUGCUUGGGUUGGACCCAUAGAAUGAAGAUGUAAUUGCAGUAGAUGAAUGUUAUGGGCAAUAUCAAAGAAAAUUGCCUCUGUGCAUGGACUCAACCAUUCUCUGACUCUGACUGAAAUUACUGGGCUCAGUCAUAUCAUAUGCAAGUGUUUUUACAGUGAAAAUUGGCAAAUAUCUUCUGGAUUCAUUAUCAAAAGAUGACUGAGUAAUAUAAUAGGCAGUUGGUAGUGGAUGAUCUUGAGCGGCUCGAGAGAAGGGAUUUACCAGUCCGCAUAAACACGGAAUAGGAUUGGAUGACGAAAAUUUAGUUUACUGGUUUUUGGCAAAGUUGUCUGUAGAUAAACAUUACAGGAAGGUUGAUUAUAGUGUUGUAACUAAUGUAGAAAAUUUUGUCAGCAAGAACAUUCACAUGCACCAUAUAAUUGGUAGGAAUGAUAUCAGUUCUUAGAGAAAGAAUCAAUGUUAUUCCUUGAUUUUGUACAACACUACAUUAAAUCAUAUUCUUAUUUGUUGUCACCUCCUUCUGGCAGUUUUGCAAAGAUGAUAUCUGGAGUUCUGGACCUGUCUCAUUCUGUAACGCUAUAUUUGGAGUUUAUGGUUGGUUGAUUUAGAUUCAUUGUUUUCUCCUUAUUUCUCUCUUUUUUUCUUUUUUUUUUCCUCGAGUGCUUGAUUGCCGUUUUAAACUCCCAUUUAUUACAUCAUUUACCUUUAUCUUCCUCUUUUUUUUCUUUUUCUUUUUUGUGGAGAAUCAACCUUUAUCUUCAUUAUAACUCGGCCCUUUUCUCAAUUCUCAAUUCAACCGUUCACUUCUUUUCUUCAAUUAAACCGUUACCACAGGACUCUCCGACUCACAUUCUCUUCAACUGAACUUUAGCUAUCAAAGUAUCACCAUUAUUCGCACCUAUUCAAUCGCAUUGUGCAUUUCAGCAUCCAGUGCAGGGCCUUCCUUUCUCCUUCCAAUCUUGAGAUUGGCAACAAAAUGAAAACAUAGCCUACAUAGGUUUUGUCUUUAAAAGACAUCGAUGGCAACAAAUGGAUCAGCCUCUCUAUUUGCAAAAUAUCAAGACAUGGAAUUCAAUUAAUAGGGUAAGAUUUCCGUAUAUGUCCAGGUUAUAACAGGAUUAGAAAACAUGGGAAUAACACUGGAUAGCAUAAAAUAGAUGCAUCUUAUAAUUACAGCAAACAGCACGAAUGAAUAAUUGUCAUGCAAAUAAUUAGAGACAAUAAAUUAGGUCAAAUGAACAUUUUUAGAAUGCAAGGCUUUUGAUUUGAGAAAUUGAAAUGUAUGAACUGCAGCAAGCCCAAAUUUGACGCCAGACUCAGAACAUAAAGGAGCACACUGCAAACCAGGAUUGGAUUCACCAUCUCUAGGUCU